CUUCCCUGGUCAGAAGCUCCAGUGUAUUUUCCAUCCAGCAACUCUUAGGGAAAUUUCCCUUGCCUGACAGUGGAGUUUUUGUUUGGUAGUCUGUGGCUUUUGAAUAAGCAUUAGCACCAAGUGGUAUAACUUUAUAUACAAAAAAUGUAUAUAUACAUGUGUGUUUACAUGUGUAUAUUUACAUAUAUAUUAUGUAUUUUAAGUAAAAAAAAAAUAUUUCCCUAUGGAUUUUCAAACAUCCUCAAUGUAACAUCAUUUCAAGUUCUACUUUAGGAACUUUUCUCUUUUUUAGAUUGAAAAUAGAUUCUUUUCUCAUAAAAUGUGACCUGGUUAUAAUUUCUACUCUCAUUAGAAAAUAUCAGGCUUCCAAGAGAUAACAACAAAACACGGCAAAAUAAAAUGUAAUAAAAUGAAGAAAAAAAAAACUGUCUUAUCAAAAUUGGACACAGCAACCCAACAGAAGGAAAUCUACCCAAGAACAGGCACAAGAGCUGGAAAUCCACUCAUACCGUCAGAACUCUCAUAAAAAUACUAAGUAAUAGCUAUAACAUAGUCAAAACACCUGGUGAGGAUCCAUGUAGGCCCUGUGAUUGCUGCUUCAGUCUCUGUGAGCUCAUAUGUGCCUUGCUUAGUUGAUUCAGAGGGCCUUGUUCUCCUGGUGUCCUCCAUCCCCUUUGGUCCUUCCAUUCUUUCUGCCCUCUCUUCCCUUGGAUUCCAUGAGCUCUGAGGGCAAGGACUAAAUAAAGACCUCCAAUUUAGAUUCUCUCUCUCUCUCUCUCUCUCUCUCUCUCUCUGAAUAAUGUCUGACUGUGGAUCUCUGUAUUUGUUUCCAUCUUCUACUGGAAGAAGCCUCUCUGAUGGAUGCCUGGAGAAGGCUCCAAUCUAUGAGUAUAGCAGAAUACCAUUAGGAAUAAUUUUAUUGAUUUUUUUUUAGACUACUAGUGUUUGGUUUUACCCUAGAUAUCUAGGUUAUCUAGUCUCUAGUUCUUGGUCACCCACACAGUUUCAGCUGUGAGUUCCUUCUCAUGGAAUGGGCCUUAGGUCAAGGCAUAUAUUGGUUGGUUUUCCCACAAAUUCUUUGCCACCAUUGUGCAAGCAUAUUAUGCAGGCAGGACAGAUUUUAGGUCAAAGGUUUUGAGUCUGGCUUGGUGUCCAUGUUUCUGUUUAGGUAGCCUGCAGAGUACCUUCCAAAAAGAAUUUUCCUGACUGCUUCCAUUCAGGCCCAGUGGAGAACUAAAUGUGCCAUCAGUGUCAGGUAGGGCCUCAUUAAGAGAGGAGGGUGCUUCUGUUCUGUGAGUUCAGGGCUGACACCCAGAAGGCUUCUGAUGUGUGGCUCAAAGAGCAAUCACAAAAAUCUCAGGGGGCUCAAAUUCUGGGGGUGGGGGUUUCGAGACAAGGUCUCUCCUGGAACUUGCUCUGUAGACCAGGCUGGCGUGGAACUCACAGAGAUCUGCCUGCCUCUGCCUCCCGAGUUCUGGGAUUAAAGGCGUGCGCCACCACCGCCUGGCCACAACCAUAACUUAGUACCUGCUGUGGAUCUAGCACAGAUCCACACAGGCUCUGUGAUUUCUGCUUCAGUCUCUGUGAGCUCCCUUGAGCUCUGUUUAAUUGAUUCUGUCCCCUUUUAGUUGAUUGUGUCCCCUCUGACUCCUACAAUCACCCCCCUCUUCAGUGGGGUUUCCUUCCUAGGGGAGGGACCCAGUGGAGAUCUCCAAUUUGAGCUCUGUCUCUGUACAAAUGUUUGGCUUUGAGUCUCUGCAUCUGCUCCCAUCAGUGGCCUGUGGAAACCUUUCUGAUCAUAAUUGGUUAAGCCAUUCUUUUAAGAGUUCAUCAUAUAUUCUUUUCUUCCCCACCCGUGACUUACAUCUCCAUUGUGAAUCCUCAUUAAUAAACUCAGAGGAAAUCUGUACAACUCUAAUGCAUGCUCUUCAAAAAUUACCUUAUUUUUAUAUUUUUAAAAAGAUAGUUUAUUAGUAAACAAGGAGGACUCUAAAAGAGACAAACAUUGUCCCCUGGAGAAGGUGAAAGGGUCACAAUCCCCUGAGCAAAUUGAGAGCAUGGGAAGAGGGGGAGGGAGCUACCAGAAUGAGAAGGGAAGAACAGGAAGGAUGCAGAGGUCAUGAGGGAGCAGAAAGUUUGAGUCAGGUGAAGAAUAGAAGAAAGUAUAUAUGAUAGGUAGGGUUUUAAUUGGGGGAGUGGUAGGGGAGGAAGGGAGGGAGAAGGAAACUGGGAUUGUCAUGUAAUUCAAUCUUGUUUCUAAUUCUAAUAAAAAAUGAUAAAAAAGAAAAAAAAGAUAGUUUAUUAUGUAUCCUAUCUAGACUUAAAUUUGCUAUGUGGCAGAAGAUGACUUUGAACUUUGAUCUUCAUGGCUCUAACUACCAAGAACUCAGAGGACAGCUCUGUGCCACGUGCCACCAUGCCUAUUUUAUUUUGUGAUGCUGGGAAUUGAACCCUGGGCCUCACACCUGCUAGUCAAGCACUCUUCCAACUGAGCUUCAUCCCUAAUCUUCAUGAUUUACCUUUUAUGCAAAAUAUAUGUAUUAUGUUUCUGUAUUUAUAAUAAGCAUGUAUUUAAGUGUUUUUAAUUAUUUCAAAAUAUUGAUAUUAGAGUGUAUUGUACCAUUGUUGAUAUUUAAGCAGAUAUGGUGUAGUUUCUGUGAUGUUUGAGUAUAGAACUUUACACACAUACACACUCACACACACACACACACACUCACAUUUUCUGUAAUUUACAAGGGAUUGCCAAAGCCCAAUAGUAAAUGCUAAGAUUUACUAAACCAAGAUUUGGAAAGCAUAGGCAAUGCUUUUACACUGGAAAGUAACUCUAGUGCAUCAAUACCUUGGAAUCUGAAUGCAAGGACAUUUUAGAGUUAUUCAAAACUUUAUUUUGUUCAUAGUAUACAUUUAUAUAACAGUAGUUACUAAAGGGAAUUUUUGCAUCAGUUCUUUAAUAAUAUAAAUAAAAAUGCAAAUGAUGAAAAGAAACAAAACCUGUUUCUCUUAACAUCUUUGAAACUUAUAGAUAUAUAAAAUAAGUGUGGCUUCUUCCUUCAGUUGAUGACAGCUUAUGCUUGACAAGAAUAAUUCUAUUAAGCUUGGUACUAAAUGGAUUUGAGGAUUAAAAUAAAUCCUAAAUAUUUUAAAAGUUAGGCAAACUGAAAAAAAUCAACCUUUAUAUGUGUGUCAAUCAGAGAUGAAUGAGCCAAGAUUAUCAGAGUAAUAUAAUAUAGCUUGUCUUUCCAUCAAGACUCCUAGCAUAUAGAAUUAUGCCUGACAAUUAGCUGGUGGUCCUUUAUUUUUGCUGGUUAUAAAUAUUGUGCAUACAUUUAACUCAAAGCAUCCUUAGGCAAAAUGCAUAGGAGAAUCUGGGGCUAUAAGCCCUUUAUGUUUACGUGAAGAAGUAGACCUUGUCAGAAGUUAAGUAGUCCUCUGUCUCUUGAGGGGUGAGAGUUUUUUGACCAAUGUAAUGUUUUUAUUGAUUAUUUGGGAAUUUCAUAUAAUGUACUCUGAUCAUACUCACUUUCCAGUUCUUCCAAGCCUGCCCCAACCCUUGUGAUUCCAUCCAAAGAAAAGAAGAAAGAAAAAAGGAAGAAGGGAGGGAAGGAAGAGAGAAAAGAAGGGAGGGAAGGAGGGAAGGGAGGGAAACAACCCAAGAACAAUCUGUGUUAUCCAUAUAUUUCUGGUCAAACUCAUAGUGGCCAGCAUCCUAAAGGACACUUCUACCUUCUCCCCCACCAAAAGCUGUCAAUUGUGGAGAGCUACAUUUCCACAUCCUUAUCACAACUUUUAGGAGUUCCCUUUGAUGGUGUCCUUUUAAGGCUGUUACUUUUGGGAGGGGGUUGGGGUGGUGGUAGGGGUUGUCACAGAAGCCUCCUAUGAUCCUCCUUCUCAACUGUGUGUCUACAGUCAUCAAAAGCACUUAAAAAGUAGCUUCCUUAUACUUCAUAGUCAGUGGGAGCAUGGAUCCUGGGCCUCUGCAGAGUUGCUGACAAUAGUAUAGACCACAAACAUCCACAUGAUCUCUAGCAUCAGCAGAGUUCAAGACCUCUGCCUGGCCUCUGGUGGCAGGAAGGAUCAGGGUCAUUAACAUGAACUUCCACUAAAGCAUCAGCCAUGGAUACCAUCAUAGCCCACAGCAGCAGCACAGGCCAAGGACAUCAACAUGACCUCUGGAGCAAGAUGGGCCACAGACACCAACAUGUACUAUGCUAGUUGCAGAGGCCACUUACAUCAACAUGGCCCUUGGAAGCAGCACAGCCCACAGACAUCAUCACAGCCUCAGGCAGUGGCACAAACCAUGGACAACAGCAUGGCUCCCAGUGGCAGCACCAGCCUCAGAUGUCAACAGAACACCAGGGUGAAGCAGGACCAUGAACCCAAACAUGGCUCUGAGCAGCAGGUCAGUCCACUGGACAACCACAUGGCCCCUGGGCUUCAUCAUAACCUAGGGCAACAAUAAGGACCACAAUAGCAACAUUGCCUCUGGGGGAAGUGUGGACCAUGGGGAAAUUUUGAGGAGGCCCAAUCUAAUUCUUCAUCUUGGACAUCCUAUCACUGGUCAGACCCAGGGUGAUUGUGUGCCAAGGCAGCUUGUUCAAAGACCCAGGCUGCAGCACACCACCCUGUGGGCCCCACUCAGCAAGGACAUGUUUCAGACCCCUCCACAGCCUUCUCUCUCACCAGUCACAGCUUUUAUGUCUCUAGUUCCACCUCUCUUCACCACCCAUGCACCAAUUGGUUCCGCCAUCUUGUCUUUCCCAUCUCUCCAUCACAUAUUCAUUUAGUAGUAGUGGCAUUGGAAGCUGCAGUUUGUCAAACAGUAUGAUCCCCCCCAAACAACUUGCCAUGCAAAUGUUCAUUCCAACACAUCAUUGGUCUGGUUCAAGGUUAGGGGUUUCUGAUAGAACUAUCAAUACUGGACCCUCACUGAGACUCCUCUAGGAUAGCCUGCUGUUGCUCAGAGUCGUGGUGAUACUGCAUCUCUGGUUCUUCAUGACCAGCUCCUUCCAGCAGCUCAUAGAUGGAGUGUAUGUUGGGGUGGACAGACUUAAAGCACUAGACCUGGUCCUGGAUGAUAGCUGAGUUGCCAGCCAGCCUGCCUGCCCUCCCAGGGGCUGGGAAGGUUACUCUUAUAUUCCAUCUCUGAGUUCAGAUUAGACAAGAAGAAAUGCUUCAGGAAUGAUAUUCAGAUGCAGGCACUCAUUCUGAUACUCUUGCACUACAUUGCAAGUAAUGAAACAGUUUGAGUGAAAUGAAAUCAAAGUAUGAGUUAUCGCUUAAUAUUCUUUAAAAUAAAUCAUUAAUUCAGAUCUUAGCAAAUAAUUUUUAAUAGUAUUCUAUGAUGAAACUGUCCUGUAAGCCCUGGCUUGGAAGAAUCAGAGACCCAAGGAUACCAGUUUCUGUGCCAAUACUGAUAGGAGCAGAUGCCAAUGCACAAAUGUCUUGCGGAGCUUGUCUCCAUAUGGUCUGCAGUAGGUUUUGUUCUUGCAAUUUUUAGAGUCUGGAAUACUUUAGGAAGUUAAGUGUCAUUAUCACCCAAGUAAAACCAAAGUCUUACAAAGCCUUACAAAACUCAUAAAAGAAUCCUUUUGGAUAAGGGGAUGAAUUUUUAAAUAGAUAUUAUGGUAUAAAGAUUAAAGUUUGGCUUACAUAAAUAUGUAUGUCUUAACUUCUUCCAACAUAAAACUAAUUAGGAAUAUUUAUUAUUGUUCUUAUUUGAUACUCCAGGAGUAUGUGUUUCUAAAUAUAAAACAUAUUUAAAUGAAGAUCUAGAUUUUAAUUAAGAUGUUAUCACUGUAUCUUGAGGAGCAAGAAUAUUGUAUUUGUAAGGAUUAUAAUUGUAGGGGGAGAAACAUUAAAGCCACACAUAAAUGCUAUGAUGUGAAAGAUCAAUAAAACAAAAGGUUCUGUAGAAAUAAAAAGGUAGUCAUAAGACUAUUAACAAACCAAACUGGAAGGACUGAGUAUUUGUAAGUGAAAAGUAGAGGUGUGAUCUUAGCUUAUGAAAAUAUCCUCAACACUGUGAUAGGUGAGUAUCUGGGAGCAUAGAUAAGUAGUUCAUUUAAAAUCAAAUAAAGCUGUUGACAGAUUAUCAAUAAAUAACAAACAGUUGUGAGUCAUGUACUCUGUUCAGAGUUCAUGUUCUGAGCUGCAAUGCUAGUGUUUCAGGGAUGGACAAGAUACACAUGAAAAUUUGCUCUUGUGGCAUAUACUAAUAUGAUGCAUCAAAAAAUACUAAGCAAAAAAGCAAAGUGAUAGAAGCAAGUAUGUGGUUAAUGUAAUAAUAACAGAAACAAGCAGAUACUACAGCCAUGAACAUUGGAGACAGAAUUCUCUUAUAGCAGUGUAGUUGAAGAAGUCACCUCAGGAACUGACUGAAGACCCAGAGGAUGAGUAAAUGGACAAAAAAGAGUGUGGGAGGAACAAGUAAAAACAAGAUAGCUUAAUUGAUUCCUAGAAGGGAUGGCAGUUGAGUUCAUGGAGCAAAGCAAGAAUGGGGACAAAUGUCUCAAGAUGCAAUAGACUUGCCAGAAGAAAGCAGAUCAGAAAUUGAGAACUGAGGAUCUAAGAUUGUGAAUCUUGUUAUAAGUACAACUAAAGAGAAUUCUGUGGAAAAUUAAAGCAAGAAUGCACCAAAUGUGACAUGCUAUAAAGGAUUAUUCUGGUUCUCCUGCUUGCAAUAAAUCAGAAUCUUGCUUUUGUAGUUGCCAUUGCUGUCCAGCUACCAACUCUGCAACACUUCAUCUGUGUGUGUGUAGCACAGCUCUCUCUGUCUCUACUAGCCCAGCUCAUCUUUGGACAGCCCAUUAAAGUAGAGAUUGGUAUUGCCCCUAGCUCAGAAGUGAAAGUAGGAACCUAGUUAGAGGUCAGUCACUUGGGAUGGGUUUAUUCAGUUAAUCACUGACAAGACUGUUCUAUGAACUGAAAUAAUCUGUGCCCUUAAUCACUGUCCAGUCCUAUAAGCAAAACCCAGGAAACAGCAUAUGUUCAUUAUAGUCUGUGAGGGAUGGGCUAGCACCUUAGACUUGAGAGUGGCAGUCAGGUUAUAAAAAAGAUGGAUCACAGGUUAAAUUCAAAGAGCAGGGAUGACAACAGGUUAAGAGUGGUGCCUGAGUUAAUUUUUGUCUGGAGUUGAGACCCUAGGAGAUUUCCUUUUUUCAUGUUAGCAUAUCAGUUGGUGUCAUAGCUGCCUAAACAAGACCUGAACAAUGUACAGCAAGUCCAAAAAGUAGGAUACAAAAGACUUACGUUGAUGAGUAUGUUGUGUAACAGCAAUGUGGGAAGUGUAGUGAUAGAAUCCCCUUGGUUAGGAAUCCCCAGUCAUGGGGCUAUAGAAUGGUAAGCACUAGAAUCAUGGAAGUUUAUAGAGGAUCUGCUGCAGUAACUACUAGAUCAGAAGUUGGAGGUCCUGUCUGUGGAAUUAGAAAACAAAAACAUGGUCAUGUGGCACAGUUAAAAGAAUAAUUGGGGGCUAGAGUGAGUUUACUUCCAGGCACCCAAAUACUGUGCAGAAUAUUACUGCCUGCAGCUUUAAUUCUAGGAAUCUCUGUGUUGGCCUCUGCUGGCACCCAGCUUACAUAAUCACACAUACACAUAGAAUUCUUAAUUACUCUAUAGAAGGGAAAUUCUGUAUUUGGAGGGUUGUUUUGAGAUGAGAAAAUAUGCAGACAAAUGCAUUCAAAGCACAUUCUUAGAGCAGGUGUCACCGUCUGUGAACUUCAGGAAAGUCAGAACCUUCAUAUAGCUUUUCCUCAUCAGUCACUUCCAAUAUGCUUCUAAAAGUAGAACAGACUCAGACAGGGCUGAGCUAGCUUAGAUCAGCCGCCUUCUAAUUAAUACCCUCACCUUUCAGAGUAGGUAGUUCAUGUACCUGCAUUUGCAUGGUCAAAACUGUUUUGAUUCUUUACAGUUUGUGAAUAAAUCAAGUUUUGUCUUUUAAUUUUCAACUUAAUAAAAAUUUGCUGAAGAUUUCUUCCAUGUUAACUAAGUGCCUAAACCAACAAAAGCCACUGUUUUCUAUAGUUUUGGUUUUGUAUUAUUUAUUCUUUUUGAGACAUGGUCUCAUAAUGUAGCAGUGGCUGACUCAAAAUUCACUAUGGAAACCAGUCUGGCAUAGAAUUAACAAAGAUUUGAGUGACUCUACCUCCUGUCUGUGGGCCUCCACACCACACUUCUUCAGUAGUUUUACAUGAAUCCCUCAAUAAUAUUUGUAGUUGUUAUUUGUGGUAUUCAGACACAUACAAUGCAAUAUAGUAAAAACAUCUGAAUAUAAUAAAUAACACAUCUUUCUUUUGCUGUUCUUUAUAAAUCCCAAAUAGUAAAGAUGACUAUCAUAAACAUAUCACUGUGUUUCUACAACUUUCCUUUAAAAGUCAAGUCAAUAGAACAAAACAUAUAGGUACUUUACGACCUGUGUAAGUAUGGCAUAGUUCUGGAGAAAUGGCUCUGUCAGUAAGUACUUGCCUUGCAAGCAUGGGAACUUAAAUUCCAUCCUCAGAACCCCAUGUAAUAAGUGCUGGGGAACAUGACAUGCCCUUGUAAACCUAGUACUAGGGACACAGAGAGAUGAGGAUGUAUGGAACUUUCUGGCACCCAAGCCUUGCAUGCUGUUAGCUGUAGGCCAAUGAGAGACCCUGUCUUAGGUGGACAUUCCAGAGACAUUAAUAACAUUCCUGAGAAUUAAAUCUGAGGUGGUUCUCAGGCAUAUAUAUAUUCACAUACAAAUGAACAUACCCACACAAAACAUGUAUAAACUCUUACUCCAAAGAAUAGCAUAGUUUUCAGGGUAACAUUUUCUGUCAAAUCUAAGAUUGUGUUCUGCUUGCAUUGCGUGAAAUGAAUCGAAAACAUGAUGUAUGAAAACUUCAAGUAGCAUAGCCGGGUGUAGCUCAGCUAUGUUAAAAAUGCUUGCUUUGCAAGAUGAGCCCCUGGGUUCAGUUUGUUUUACUUUAUUUAACACAGAUCUGCUGUUGUUUUCCAUGUUCUACACAAGACUGGUAAUUAUACUCUGUCAUUGCCCUGCAGGAGCUGGCUGCCGGCAACAAAUAUCAUUCACAUUCCAUUUGUAUUGGCACACAGGACUAGGCCACAUAAAACCAGAACCUUGAAGACUGGUUAUGUGGAAAUGGACUUAAUUGUUUAAACGAAGGAAGGAUAAGACAAAGCCAGAGGCAGCUAAGUAGGGUGAGAUAAAAAUGAAUGUGUUUCCACAUAAGACAGCUUUGUGACACCUCUGGGUAGGAGGAAGCUGGGAUUGGUACUGAGGAUUAUAUAAAAGAGCCAGUUACACACUAGGAAGCUGUGGCCAGACUCACACAAUUCAGUCUUUAAUGGGAGACUUGGGAAAGAAGCCAAACACCUUGGCUGUCAUCACAAGAGCAAAGAAUGCAUUGUUGUCCAUUAGAAGAGAGUCACUCUGGAAGAAUCUGAAGAAAGAUUCAAGAGAGAGUGCAAUAAGGGAGGAAACAUGGCAGAGCUGCCUAGAUGAGAUAUGGUCCAGUCUUAAAAGAUGAAAAGGAGCACGUGUGGUUAACGCACAGCUUUAGAGAGCUGGGCAGUGCCUGCUCAUCAUCUUCUAAAUAAGAAACUGAGAACAAUGUUUAGUACUUGAUGGGCAUCCUAAUACCAACGAUUGCCAAGUUUAUUAGCCUGUAAAGUGUGCUGUUGGUGUUGGGAAAGUACUGAACUGGUGGAUAUGUGCUGGGAUGACAAUAGGUAGGAGAGCAAGGAGGUAUAAUUAUAGGAGACAUUUUGAAGAGAGAAGUGGAAAGCUCUGGCAACAGGCUCCGUGUGCAGAGUGAAAAGGAUGAUUCAGAGUUUAGUCACUAACACAUUCUGUUCUCUUUUGGCCAUAUGCAUUUAUGAGACUCUAUAAAUGCAGAUGAUUAACAUUCAUUUGAACACUAAGAGGCAUAUUGGUAAAACAGUUUUCUGUGUUGGCCUUUUGUUCUAUAACUCCCAAACAUUCCAGAGUUGGAAACGCAGUCAUUGGAGUUGAUUGCAUUCUGUGCUUAUUUGUUUAGCACAAACAUUGGGUCAUUUGUUCCUGUUACCUUUGCCUCUACACAGUGUCUAAAUAACAUUAUGUGAUUUUGUUGAAGGCCUUGGCCUCCCUCUCCAGUGUCAGCCAAUAGAUACUUGUGCCAUGGUUAUCUGUUGUGGUUUGUUUGUGCCUCACUGAGGGAGCUUGCAUUUUUAGCAACAUAUCACAUAGCAUCUUUUACAGCUCUUGUUCAGAUGCCCUAUUACAAAGAGCCCUGGUGCUGUAUUUUUGUUUGCUCAGAUAAACCUUAAAUAUGUACCUCUCAUUAGUAUGCAACACAAAACCCUGACAGCCAACAGAUUUGUGUAAAUAUUUGUGCAUGUGUAUCAAAAUAACAUGUUACCUACAACUAUAAGAUAGCAAUAAUUUCAGUUCAUUGAAUAUAAAGCUUGGCUUGGAGAGAUUGUCCUUGUUUCUGACAAAGAUACAUUUAACAUCCACUGAUUCAAAAAUCUUCUGCAUUUACCAUCACAAGCGGCAAUAUUAACAAACCAUAUCCCUACAAAUUUACAAUAUCCCUUGAAGAGGCAGAAAUGAAUAGAAAAGUCCAAAGACAACUGGUACCCAGAGGAGUAUCUUAUUAACUCUAAUGGGAAAAGGUAGAUAGAAAGAUGCAGACAGGUGCAAACAAAGCCAUGUAUACCUGCAAUUUGUUGUACUAGAUAUCCAUUGCUCAGCAUCGACAAAGAAGGUGAGUAGCACUGUAAGCUAGCUGUACUCCUUCAGAAUCCUGACUCUGUGGCACUUUAAUGAACCUUGGCAUUUCCUUUUUUUCUUUAACUGAAUUGUUUCUAAGUCACUGCAUCUUUAUGGAAAAAGAGACGAUUACAGUAAAAACUCAUUUUUACUGUAACAAACACAGCUUCCAAGAACUCUAUCCAUACCUACAAGGGGAGAGAGCACUCAGAUAUUUAACAUCUCUUAGAGCCAGAAUGAUACUAAAAUAGUUAGAGACUGAAACUGAUAUGUAUGUCAAAGAAGACACCCUUUCUGGUCUUUUUCUAGACUCAGGGCAGAUCACCAACUCAAGAUAACAGAACAAACAAUUUGCUUAACUACAUCCAUUUUGUUCAACUUUUUGUUAAGUAUUGUCUUGUAGAUUUCUGCCAUGUUCUAACACAUUAACAAGGGUUUUCUACCACCCUUGUCAACAGAAAUUCAAGUCUGCAUCAUCAGACAAUAAAAUAAAGCUCUGCAAUUUUCUCAACAAUCUCACUGCCAACCAAGGGACUGUUCAGUUCUUUUAUUUUACUCAUUUGUCAAACACUUAUGUGAUAUUAAAAUAAAUGAAAAUGUAAUAAAAAUUAUGUCUAGGGACUGGAGAGAGGCUCAGAAAUUAAGAGCACUGGCUAUCUUCUAGCAGACUCAGGUUCAAUUUUUGCACCCACAAGACAGUGUGCAACACUCUAUUACUCCAGUUUCAGGGAAUCUGAAGCCCUCUGCUGGUCUCCAUGGAUGCCAGCCAUGCAAGUGAUGCAAAGACAUAUAUGCAGUCCAAACACCUGUACACAUAAAAAUUAUUAUUUUUGAAUAGUAGUAUUUCCUCUGGUAGUGGAUCAGUAUUUAUCCCUAGUACACAAAUGGACUUUGGGAGCCCACUCCACAUAGAGGGAUACUCUCUCAGCCUAGGCACAUGGGGGAGGGUCUAGGUCCUACUCCAAAUGAUAUGACAGACAUUGUAGAUCCCCCAUGGAAGGCCUCAUCUUCUACCUGGGGAGGAGAAAGGGUUUAGGAUAGGGGUGGAGGUGGGCAGGGGAGAAGGGGAGAGAGAGGGAACUGGGAUUGACAUGUAAAAGAAGCUUGUUUCUAAUUUAAAAUUGGUCUAAUUACAAUUCAAAAAUAAAAAAUAAUAAAAAUAAAUAGCCGUAUUUUCUUGUCUUUGUUUUCAAAGCCGCACUAACAUAUGGAAGGAGAUCUCUUAUUGUGAUCUUAAUUUGCAUUUUCUGAUUUGUAACUUGAACACCUUUUAACAUACUUAUUGACUACUUCCUAUUUUAAUGUCUGCUUUGGGAAAUUGUGGAAGAACUUUGGAAAUUUGGGCUAGAAAAGCCAUUGAGGGUUGACAGCUAAGUGGGGUAUUAUGUAGGACCGUGGAUGAUGAGAAUGUUGAGGGCCGUGCAGAAGAUGGAAACCUGGCUUGUGAAAUUUUAGAGGGAAAUUUAAAUACUCUGUUGGGACUGUUUGUUAUUUUCAGUCACGAGUCUGUCAUUCUGGUCACCUGCAGCUGAAGAAUCAGCUGUGAUAAACAAGAGAUUGGAAACACUGAAGUGGAACCCUUGUGUUACUGGACACUGUUGGUUAGUGGAUGUUACGAUAAAUCUUUCUGCCAAAAGCCGCUGAGCCCCACCGCCACGUGUAAGCUUUAUGGCAGCCGCCUGCCCAAGUUAGGCCCAAAUGAAUACACAGAGAGACUUGUAUUAGUUACAAUGCUGCUUGGCCAAUGACUAGGAUUCUCAUCUGUUAGCUCAGUAUCAAUCAUCAUACAUCUAUAUAUUUUAUAAGACUUAUCUUAUCGGACGCCUUAUUGGCGCCCCUCCUAGCUGGUGGAUCACAUCUUGCCGCUGGAGCAGGAGCCGAGGGGAAAGAGAGCAACACUUCCUUUUUCCUCUUCUUAAAUAUGAGUCUCCUUGCUAUGUCACUUCCUGUCUGGAACACCACUUCUCUACUACAUUUCCCAGAAUCCUCUUUGACUCCUAGUCCAGCCUAACCUGCUGUCUCAUUGGCCAAGCAAGUACUUUAUUUAUAAACAUACACAGAAGUAUUUCCCCCAUCAUCUCCUCUUUUCUGUCUAAAUAAAAAGAAGGGUAACUUAUUUUUUAUAAUAACUGAAGAAAACUAUAACCAUAACUAUCUGUCUUCAACUCUAUCAAAGACCACAGAAGGAUAAUAUAUAAACUCUUGAAUUGACAGGACAUCUUGCUACCUGGGCAGUCACCCAAAGUUCCUCUGUAAAUGUUGGGGCAUCCAUCUUCAGCCUAUAGGCCACAGUAUGUCUAACACACUCCUCCAUUUUAACAGGAACCCUUCAGUUUUGUAAGUUUAGCAGUCAUUUUCUUGUGGGUCCUGCAUGUCCAAUUUAUACAGCAACAAACAGUCCAGGCAAGAGCAGUUUCUUGCCCAAAUGGCUAGUCUUGCCAUGUUGAAAGCAAACUCCAUAACGAGUUUCUUCGAUGCCCAUCCUCCUUUCUGACAUAAUUGGUGUGCCAGGAGCAGUUGUGUCUCACUGCCAAGAAAAACCCUAAACCAUUUAAAUGCCAUAUUUCUGUAGGUCUUUGAAAGGUUUGAAGAAUACCUAACCAUCUCAAAUACAUCUCUAUAUCUAGAAAACCUAACUAACCUAAUUAUAAGUUCUGACUAUUAUAGGUAAAAGAUCUGUAUAAACACAAUACCUAAACAAGAGUAGACAUAUACAUAUCACAAAACUGACCUUAAAGUUGUAUCAAUAAAUGAAAAUCUUUACCAAUUUAAAGUAUUCAUUCCUAGAUCCUAUUUCCCUUUUCUUUUUUUAUCAUUUAUCACCAACCUCAUUUAAAUGAAAACAAACAUUUAUAAACAAUAUUUGGGAAUAUGGGCGUCGUUCUUUCUAAACUGCUUCCUGCUGAUUGGGGGCGAUGUUUAUAUACCAUUAGGAUCAUGAUAAAACAUAGAAACCUGACCAAGUCCUUGUUUUUGUAGUCUGUAAGGCUGUAUCAUCUCAGCUUCAGGGGGUCUUGCUUGAUCAAACCAUAUUAGUCUGGAAGGAAUCAACAGCUUUUGAUUUUCUGUGGAAAUACAAGUAAAACCUUUAUUUCUAAGUAGCCUGUCCUUAGACUUAAACUUUAAAGUUAAAGCAUUUUUAAAAUGUAUAAGUUGGAUUAAUUUAGCAGCAUUUAUAAUCAAAUGUAUUUUAGCAGCAGUAAUUCUUUCCUUGGCAAUCAAACAAAUUAAAGACAACAGUAUGGCAUUUAGUAUCCAGAUUCUCUGUAUAUUUUUCAUCUCUAGGUGGCUUUUUUAUUAUUCUACUUUUACUUCCUUUUGUUUCUUUUUUUUUUUUUUCUGAGACAGCGUUUCUCUGUGGAAAUCCGCCUGCCUCUGCUUCCUUCAGCAAAUCCUACCCGUGUUGGCCACCACAACCGGUUACUCUAUUUCCUCCUGUUACUUUUUCUCUCACAAGCUUACAUAUAUUUUUAAAUGUAUUGUAAACCUUUAGAUGUUUUUCUUUAUCUUAAUCUGUCUUUAACAUCUCAGAAGUCCGAGUAUAACGCCCAAGAGCACCGGGACAGUGCGAGCAUAUGGAAGCUGCUCCAAUGCCUCUCAGCAGCCCGACAGGGCAGGCUGUGGCGGCAGGUUUCCCUCUUUCUCUGGAAACCUUGGGGCAUGGGGUCAUCCCACUCACUGACACCAUUCUGUUACGAUAAAUCUUUCUGCCAAAAGCCGCUGAGCCCCACCGCCACGUGUAAGCUUUAUGGCAGCCGCCUGCCCAAGUUAGGCCCAAAUGAAUACACAGAGAGACUUGUAUUAGUUACAAUGCUGCUUGGCCAAUGACUAGGAUUCUCAUCUGUUAGCUCAGUAUCAAUCAUCAUACAUCUAUAUAUUUUAUAAGACUUAUCUUAUCGGACGCCUUAUUGGCGUCCCUCCUAGCUGGUGGAUCACAUCUUGCCGCUGGAGCAGGAGCCGAGGGGAAAGAGAGCAACACUUCCUUUUUCCUCUUCUUAAAUAUGAGUCUCCUUGCUAUGUCACUUCCUGUCUGGAACACCACUUCUCUACUACAUUUCCCAGAAUCCUCUUUGACUCCUAGUCCAGCCUAACCUGCUGUCUCAUUGGCCAAGCAAGUACUUUAUUUAUAAACAUACACAGAAGUAUUUCCCCCAUUAAGUGGAAGCUAAAGAAAUUAUCAGUGAUUAAGAAGAGACCACCAUCAUGGAGAUGAAAUUUUCUGGGAAAUAUUUCCUGAGAGUCAACACAGAAGCUGUGUUCCAGAGGUGACGAAGGAACUCUUUAAAUAACCAUGAAUAAGAAAUGAGUAUUGUUUUAGAUGCCAUAUUUAAAAUAUUUUCAGUUCUUCCGAGGAAAAUGAUUCAGAGAAGAAAUAACCUUGCAACAUGGAUGAGUCACCCAACAGGUGUGACUACAAAAUCUACCUCUUAGACAUUAACAGCAAAGAUAAUUGGAAAGCACCCUUUCCGGUUUUAUUUUCUAGAUUUUAGAGUCCUAAGGAAAUAGUG
Molecule: long non-coding RNA, 15246 nt
Filed under: Cricetulus griseus (Chinese hamster)
Lineage: Eukaryota; Metazoa; Chordata; Mammalia; Rodentia; Cricetidae
Description: lncRNA (ENSCGRG00015038781.1)
Source: RNAcentral